UAGAGUGGGAGCAGCAGGUGCCCAGGAAGAGGGCAAGAACAAAGCUCUAGUUUCUGUGCCAUCAGCCCUGCAUAAGGGAAGAGGUUCAUGGAGAGAGACGAGGGGCGGAUGGAAGGCUGCAGCCAUUCCAAACCCAGCCUGUUUUAACAUCUCUGGAGCUCAGCUAGAGAAAGACCAGGCACCAAGAAGAACAUGCAGCCUCCAUUUGGAAACAAAGAGUCCAUCUCACAAGCUUUCCCGGAGCCAGGUCCAAAAAGCCCACGUUCACCUGAGUUUCAGCAGGAUGGAGCAGCAGAGAGCGACCGUCACGUGACCGCAGAGUGGGCCACAGAGGAGCCCCGACUCAUCCGGAUGCUGGGCCUUGCCUUCGUUUCCCUUUGAGGAUCUGCCAAAAACCAAAAGUCACCAUCUAAAAAAAAAAAAAAAAGAACUCCAAAGAAAGGGGGAGGAGCAGGAGAAAGUAAUGAACAUUUCUUGAAGGUCUGUGGUGUGGCGGGAACCGACCUUGAAAGACGACACCGAUAUUUCAUUUUUUCUCUCCCACCGUGUGCCAGAUGGGCAUCAUCUCCAUUGUACAGAUGAAGAAACUGAGGCCCAAGAUUACACCGCUGUUGUGUGUCGGGAGAUGAUUUUCCACGGGUCUCUCACAUUUCCAUACAUCCUGUAAGCAAGGAUGCUGACCGCCUUUGCUCCGAUCUUUAUAAAGAUGUUCGCACGGUGAACGGCUUUGGAAGAUGUGAUGUCCUCCUCGGGAGCGAAGGCUUUAUAGAGAUAAUAAUUCACACAGCAUGCAAUUCAUCCAUGUACAGUUACCAUCCACUGGUUUCAGUAUAUUCUCAG
Molecule: long non-coding RNA, 840 nt
Organism: Suricata suricatta (meerkat)
Lineage: Eukaryota; Metazoa; Chordata; Mammalia; Carnivora; Herpestidae
Exons: 5
Source: RefSeq, a predicted model, not a curated record